RNAcentral lists this ribosomal RNA (244 nucleotides) under uncultured bacterium. Its description in RNAcentral is "partial 16S ribosomal RNA". It matches the Rfam family "Bacterial small subunit ribosomal RNA", at positions 524 to 769 of the family's 1533-position model. The record is from RNAcentral.
UACGAAGGGUGCAAGCGUUACUCGGAAUUACUGGGCGUAAAGCGUGCGUAGGUGGUUCGUUAAGUCUGUCGUGAAAGCCCCGGGCUUAACCUGGGAACUGCACUUGUGACUGCAAGGCUGGAGUACGGCAGAGGGGGAUGGAAUUCCGCGUGUAGCAGUGAAAUGCGUAGAUAUGCGGAGGAACACCGAUGGCGAAGGCAAUCCCCUGGGCCUGUACUACGCUCAUGCACGAAGCGUGGGGAGC